GAUCCUGGCUCAGGAUGAACGCUAGCUACAGGCUUAACACAUGCAAGUCGAGGGGCAGCAUGACCUAGCAAUAGGUUGAUGGCGACCGGCGCACGGGUGAGUAACACGUAUCCAACCUACCGGUUAUUCCGGGAUAGCCUUUCGAAAGAAAGAUUAAUACCGGAUAGUAUAACGAGAAGGCAUCUUCUUGUUAUUAAAGAAUUUCGAUAACCGAUGGGGAUGCGUUCCAUUAGUUUGUUGGCGGGUAACGGCCACAAG
RNAcentral lists this ribosomal RNA (258 nucleotides) under uncultured bacterium. RNAcentral's name for it is "partial 16S ribosomal RNA". It matches the Rfam family "Bacterial small subunit ribosomal RNA", at positions 15 to 272 of the family's 1533-position model. The record is from RNAcentral.